RNAcentral lists this ribosomal RNA (492 nucleotides) under uncultured bacterium. RNAcentral's name for it is "partial 16S ribosomal RNA". It matches the Rfam family "Bacterial small subunit ribosomal RNA", at positions 29 to 507 of the family's 1533-position model. The record is from RNAcentral.
AGUGAACGCUGGCGGUAGGCCUAACACAUGCAAGUCGAACGGCAGCACAGUAAGAGCUUGCUCUUACGGGUGGCGAGUGGCGGACGGGUGAGGAAUACAUCGGAAUCUACUUUUUCGUGGGGGAUAACGUAGGGAAACUUACGCUAAUACCGCAUACGACCUACGGGUGAAAGCAGGGGAUCUUCGGACCUUGCGCGAUUGAAUGAGCCGAUGUCGGAUUAGCUAGUUGGCGGGGUAAAGGCCCACCAAGGCGACGAACCGUAGUUGGUCUGCGAGGAUGAUCAGCCACACUGGAACUGAGACAAGGUCCAAACUCCUACGGGAGGCAGCAGUGGGGAAUAUUGGACGAUGGGCGCAAGCCUGAUCCAGCCAUACCGCGUGAGUGAAGAAGGCCUUCGGGUUGUAAAGCCCUUUUGUUGGGAAAGAAAAGCAGCAGGUUAAUACCCCGCUGUUCUGACGGUACCCAAAGAAUAAGCACCGGCUAACUUCGUG